CUCAUGUUGAAACUCAGUCCCCAGUGGGGCAGUAUUGAGAGGUGGGACAUUUAAGAGGCAAUUGGGUCAUGAGUGAAUUAAUCCAUUCAUGGGUUAAUGAAUUAAUGGGUUAAUGGAUUAAUGGGUUAUCGUGGGAGGAGAACUAGUGGCUUUAUAAUGAGAGGAAGAGAGACCUGAGUUAGCACAUCAGCAUGCUCAGCCCCCCAGCAUGUAACAGCUGGCACCAUCCGGGGAUUCUUCAGAGAGUCCCCAUCAGCAAGAAUACUCGCCAGAUGAGGCCCCUCAGUCUGAGAAUCCUCAGCUUCCAUAACUGUCAUGAAAAGUGGAGAGAAGCAUCUUGAAAAAGCUAUUCAACAUUACACUCAUUAGAUGGCUAUUAUUAAAAAAAAUAAAGCAACAGAAAAUUACAAGUGCAAUGGUUAAUUUUCUAUGUCAACUUGACAGGGCCAUGAGGUCCCCAGACGCAAUCAUGAUUCUGGGUGUGUCUGAGGUGUUUCUGGAUGUGAUUAACAUUUGGAUCAGUAGAGUGAGUAAAGCAGAUUGCCCUUCAUAAUGUGGCUGGAUCUCAUCCCAUCAACUGAAGAUCUGAAGAGAACCAGAAGCUGAUAAGAGAGAACUUCUCCUGCUGGACUGCCUGGAGCUGGGACAUUGAUCUUUUCUUGCCUUUGGACUUGAAUUGAAAUAUCAGCUCUUCUUGGAUCUUAAUCCUCCUGGCUUUUGGACUGGAACUUAAAAACAAAAUGGGGCACCAGCAAAUAUGUUUUUCUUUUAGGUCCUGAAAAGUGGAGAGGAGCAUCUUUAAAAACUAGUCAACAUCACACCCAUUGGAUGGCUAUUAUUAAAAAAAAAAAAGCAAUAGAAAAUUACGAGUGUGAUGGUUAAUUUUCUGCAUCAAUGUGCCUUGGCCAUGAGGUCCCCAGAUGUUUGGGCAAACAUUAUUCUGGGUGUGUCUGAAUAAUGACUUCUAUUGUUGUAUUUAUUAUUAUAAUGGCUUUUAUUAUAUGUCCUGCUGGCUUUUAGACUGGAACUUACAAAAUAUGGCACAUUGCCUUUCCUGGGUUUCCAGCUUGCUGACUAUAAAUCUUGGGACUUUUCAGCAUCCAUAACCAUGUAAGCCAAUUCCCUAUAAUAAAUCUUUUUCUCUGUCUUUAUGUAUGUAUGUAUGUAUGUAUGUAUGUAUGUAUGUAUGUAUCUAUCUACAUAUAUAUGCAUACAGAAAGAUAAUGUGUAUAUAUAUAUAUACUCUUUAUAUGUAUAUUGUCUCUAUACACAUGCAGACACACACACACACACACUCUCUCUCUCUCUCUCUCUUUCUCUAUAUUAAUCAGAGCCCUAACUAAUACAGAUGCAUUGCUGGGUGUGAAUGUAAAAUGGUGUAGCAGCAGCUAUGGUUCCUCAAAAAGUUAGAGAAUUACCGUAUGAUCUAGCAAUUCCACUUCUGGGUAUAUUUAAAUCCACAAAAAAUUAAAAGCAGGGACUUGAACAAAUAUUUGUACAUCCACAUUAUAGCAGCACUACUCAUGGUAGUCAAAAGGUGGGAACAACCCAAAUGUCCAUUGAUGGAUGAAUGGAUAAAUGAAAUAUGGCAUAUAUAAUAGAAUACUACACAUUCAUAAAAAGAAAGGAAAUUCUGACACAUACUACAACAUGGAUGAACCUUGAGGACAUUAUGCUAAGUGAAAUGAACCAGUCACGAAAGACAAAUACUGCCUGAUUCCACCCACAUUAGGUAUCUAAAGUAGUCAAACUCAGAGAAACAGAAGGUAGAAUGCAGUUACCAGGGGCUGGAAAAAGGGGAAUGGGAAAUUAUUGUUUAAUGGGUACAGUUUCAAUUCUGCAAGCUAAAAACUUCUAGAGAUGGAUGGUGGUAAUAGUUACACAAUAUCGUGAAUGUAUUUAAUGCCGCUGAACUGUACCUUAAAAUAGUUAAAAUGUUAUAUAUGUUAUGUAUAUUUUACCAAAAUAAAAUAAAAACCCAUCCU
RNAcentral lists this long non-coding RNA (1985 nucleotides) under Homo sapiens (human). RNAcentral describes it as "HSALNT0121106". The record is from RNAcentral. Lineage: Eukaryota; Metazoa; Chordata; Mammalia; Primates; Hominidae.